CUUAUACUAGAUUUUGACCCGCGCUUUCAAAGCGCGGGUUUAUUUUUUUUUAUUUUUUAAAAUUGAAAAAUAUUUAGUAAAUGUCAUAUUUUCAUAUAUUUGUUUUUGAUAAAAAACUUAAACUUUUUAUCUUUCUUUAUCGUGUUUUAUUUUAAAUGAGUAUAGGCCUGAGCACAAUAUCCGGACCCGAAGAACCGACCCAAAAAUCAGGGUUCCGAACCGAUCAGACCCGGAGUAAAUAUCCGAAUGAAUUCUAAAUUGCUAUAUCCGAAGAACCAGUCCCGAACCGAGAAAUAAAUGAGUACCCGAAGAUAUCCGAAAUGUUCUUAUGCAUGAGAACCGAACCCACCCGGACCCGGAAAGAUCCAACUCGAACCCGACCUGAAAUUUUAUAAGACCCGAAUGGGGUUUAAUUUCAAAACCCGAAAAAUCUGAUACCCGAAAGAACCGAUUCGUACCCGAAUGAGUACCCGAACGUCCAGGUCUAAUGAGUAUUUAUGUUUAGAAAAUUACACUUUAUUUUUUAAUAAAUUAAGUUGGUCUAACUCUGAUAAGUUAAUUUUAUUAUGUGGUUAAUUUCUUAAAUAAAAAAAUUAUAUACUUUUAAUAAAGAUUUAUACUUUUCAAUGAAAAAAUUCAAAUUUUUUUUAUGAA
Molecule: long non-coding RNA, 654 nt
Organism: Raphanus sativus (radish)
Lineage: Eukaryota; Viridiplantae; Streptophyta; Magnoliopsida; Brassicales; Brassicaceae
Exons: 2
Source: RefSeq, a predicted model, not a curated record